This 200-nucleotide ribosomal RNA is filed under the name uncultured bacterium. Its description in RNAcentral is "partial 16S ribosomal RNA". It matches the Rfam family "Bacterial small subunit ribosomal RNA", at positions 28 to 238 of the family's 1533-position model. The record is from RNAcentral.
GAUGAACGCUAGCGGCAGGCUUAAUACAUGCAAGGCGAAGGGGCAGCAAUGUCACUGUCGUACGGGUGCGUAACGCGUAUGCAACCUACCUAUCACUGGGGGAUAGCCCCGGGGGAAACCCGGAUUAAUGCCGCAUAACACAGGGGCUCCUCAUGGAGAUAUUUGUUAAAGAUUUAUCGGUGGUAGAUGGGCAUGCGUUC